GAGGUGUUAGUAAAAUAAUUACAUAACCUUGUCAAGGCUAAGUUGCAGGCGAAAAUCCUGCACACCUCC
This 69-nucleotide transfer RNA is filed under the name Passer montanus (Eurasian tree sparrow). Its description in RNAcentral is "tRNA-Asp". It matches the Rfam family "tRNA". From Rfam's summary of the family: Transfer RNA (tRNA) molecules are approximately 80 nucleotides in length. Their secondary structure includes four short double-helical elements and three loops (D, anti-codon, and T loops). The record is from RNAcentral. RNAcentral also lists the same sequence under 1 other name. Lineage: Eukaryota; Metazoa; Chordata; Aves; Passeriformes; Passeridae.